UCCUCCUCCUGCUGGACUGUUUCAUCACACGUUGUCUGUGCCGCUCCUUCAUCCUCAGGGGGAGGACCCCUCACACUCUUCCCCUGCUCCAUCACAGGCUCCCCCCCCCAGGAGAUAGUCCUCCACGAACUUCUCCAACAUGGGUCCUUCCAUGGGCUGCAGU
This is a long non-coding RNA of Athene cunicularia (burrowing owl), 163 nucleotides long. RefSeq lists it as uncharacterized. The record is from RefSeq and is a predicted model, not a curated record. NCBI's taxonomy places the organism in Eukaryota, Metazoa, Chordata, Aves, Strigiformes, Strigidae. The transcript is spliced from 3 exons.